RNAcentral lists this ribosomal RNA (378 nucleotides) under uncultured bacterium. Its description in RNAcentral is "bacterial SSU rRNA". It matches the Rfam family "Bacterial small subunit ribosomal RNA", at positions 34 to 413 of the family's 1533-position model. The record is from RNAcentral.
CGCUAGCGGGAGGCCUAACACAUGCAAGUCGAACGGGAUUGAGAGCUUGCUCUCAUGAGAGUGGCGCACGGGUGAGUAACGCGUAUGCAACCUACCUAUAACUGAGGGAUAGCCCAUAGAAAUGUGGAUUAAUACCUCAUAGUUCUUUUGUUCCGCAUGGGAUGAAAGAUAAAGCUCCGGCGGUUAUAGAUGGGCAUGCGUGACAUUAGCUAGUUGGUAAGGUAACGGCUUACCAAGGCUACGAUGUCUAGGGGUUCUGAGAGGAUGAUCCCCCACACUGGUACUGAGACACGGACCAGACUCCUACGGGAGGCAGCAGUGAGGAAUAUUGGUCAAUGGGCGCAAGCCUGAGCCAGCCAUCCCGCGUGCAGGAUGAAG